UACGUAGGGGGCAAGCGUUAUCCGGAUUUACUGGGUGUAAAGGGGGCGCAGACGGCGAUGCAAGCCAGGAGUGAAAGCCCGGGGCCCAACCCCGGGACUGCUCUUGGAACUGCGUGGCUGGAGUGCAGGAGGGGCAGGCGGAAUUCCUGGUGUAGCGGUGAAAUGCGUAGAUAUCAGGAGGAACACCGGUGGCGAAGGCGGCCUGCUGGACUGCAACUGACGUUGAGGCCCGAAAGCAUGGGGAGCAAACAGG
Molecule: ribosomal RNA, 253 nt
Filed under: uncultured bacterium
Lineage: Bacteria
Description: partial 16S ribosomal RNA
Rfam family: Bacterial small subunit ribosomal RNA
Source: RNAcentral